AUCGCUUCUCGGCCUUUUGGCUAAGAUCAAAGUGUAGUUCUUAUCAGCUUAAUGCGAUGGAAUAGUUUUGUUUGUCCUUAGGACCGUCUCAUAGCAUCGCUUAUACUGUGGAACAAAGAGGCCGAGUUACUCUUUAUUUUUGAUCUUUUCUUUUUUUUAGGUUGUUAGUGGUGGAUAAGAUGUCUUCUCACAGGCUUGCUGCACGUCCGAAGCCACGCCCAU
RNAcentral lists this small nuclear RNA (222 nucleotides) under Stegodyphus mimosarum. Its description in RNAcentral is "U2 spliceosomal RNA". It matches the Rfam family "U2 spliceosomal RNA". Rfam says of the family: U2 is a small nuclear RNA (snRNA) component of the spliceosome (involved in pre-mRNA splicing). Complementary binding between U2 snRNA (in an area lying towards the 5' end but 3' to hairpin I) and the branchpoint sequence (BPS) of the intron results the bulging out of an unpaired adenosine, on the BPS, which initiates a nucleophilic attack at the intronic 5' splice site, thus starting the first of two transesterification reactions that mediate splicing. Lineage: Eukaryota; Metazoa; Arthropoda; Arachnida; Araneae; Eresidae. The record is from Rfam by way of RNAcentral.